Molecule: ribosomal RNA, 235 nt
Filed under: uncultured bacterium
Lineage: Bacteria
Description: partial 16S ribosomal RNA
Rfam family: Bacterial small subunit ribosomal RNA
Source: RNAcentral
UGUAGAGAAUCUGCCCUGUACUGGGGGACGAACAGAGGGAAACUUCUGCUAAUACCCAUAUGAGCGUACCUGCGAUGGUAUUCUUGAAAGUUCCGGCGGUACAGGAUGAGUCUGCAUCUGAUUAGCUAGUUGGUGGUGUAAUGGACUACCAAGGCGACGAUCAGUAGCUGGUUUGAGAGGAUGAUCAGCCACAAUGGGACUGAGACACGGCCCAUACUCCUACGGGAGGCAGCAG